UCGCGGGGUCCUGCGAGAGGAUGUUUUGAAUUUAUUGUUUGUAAAAAUGCAGACAUGUGAGAGAGGGACGAGAAGACCCUAUAGAUCUUAAAAAAGUUUUUAAUUAAAUUUUGAUUGGAAAUUUUUUUUAUUUGGGGAAAAUCCUGAAAUGUAUUAAAACUUCGGUUAAUAAAAAAAUUUAAUAAUUAAUUUUUGAUCCAUUUGUAGAGUGAAAAAAUGAAAAAGUUACCUUAGGGAUAACAGCG
This 245-nucleotide ribosomal RNA is filed under the name Campanulotes bidentatus. RNAcentral describes it as "partial large subunit ribosomal RNA". The record is from RNAcentral. Lineage: Eukaryota; Metazoa; Arthropoda; Insecta; Psocodea; Philopteridae.